This 1004-nucleotide long non-coding RNA is filed under the name Bos taurus (domestic cattle). Its description in RNAcentral is "long non-coding RNA NONBTAT022776". Lineage: Eukaryota; Metazoa; Chordata; Mammalia; Artiodactyla; Bovidae. The record is from RNAcentral.
UUUUUGGGGGGGUGGGGGGCUAAGGGGGGGUGGGGAAGGGGUUGGUUUUGUUAAGGAUGUAAUAGCAAUUUUUUAAUUCAGUCGUCUCUGGUUUUAUGACAUCUAUGAGGUUAUCACAAGUCUAAUAAAAAACUGGCAAAUCAAUAUGAAAAACUAAACCCCGGUUAUAAUUUAAAGCAAAGGAUUUAAAAUUAAUCAUUACAAGUUUUGAUUCACAGAUAAGGCCUCAUCAUUUCAAAGCUCCACUACUGGGUCAUGAAUAAUGACUCUAACAAAAUAUAAAAUAAUGAGAAAUUUAUAUUACCUCACAUUCAUGUGUUUAAAACAAUUUAAAUCAAAAGACACUUUUAACUCUUCCUUCUUUUCCUCUAACACAACUUCAAGGAAUAUUUUAAACAAUGAAUUUAGCGACAUGCCCUAACAUUCUUCUUUAAGUAAUAAUUUAAGGAAAAACAAAUCCUGAACUGUUUUCAACUCCUACUAAGUCUGCACACAUAAGCAGACAAAGAAGGGUAAUUCAAGGCAAACUUUAAAAAUACUCUUUCAAUUACUACGCUAUUUCAGGAAAAACAGUAAGGAGAGAAUAAUGAAAUAACUGCUUCAAUUCUCCAUUUCACUGCACAUGUAAUAAACAUGACCAUAAAGACAAAUACAUUUGAAAGUAAAUGAAAUGUUAUUUUAAUUUGUUCCCAAUUCCUUAAGUCGUAAGUCUGGCAAAGGAUCAAUCUUUCAAAGUUCCAGAACAGGACUUAUGCAAUAUUAAUUCCCAAGAAUGUACAAUAAAUCUUUGAAUUUUUUAUUCAUAAAGAACAAGAUAACAUUCACCAGUUCUCCCCACCCUCCUCCCACAAAUUGCAAUAGUUUAUCGAUUAAUACCUGCACUACUGUACUGAACAGAUUCUGCUCUGAGCAGAGCUGGUAUGUUGGUUAUCUUCUUCCGAGUACUUCACUAUUUCUGCCCUGACAAUACGCUGUCAAUUCCGUAUAACAGAAACAAGAUGCAG